CCUACGGGGAGCAGCAGUGGGGGAUAUUGCACAAUGGGGGAAACCCUGAUGCAGCGACGCCGCGUGGGUGAAGAAGCGCCUCGGCGCGUAAAGCCCUGUCAGCAGGGAAGAAAAUGACGGUACCUGAAGAAGAAGCCCCGGCUAACUACGUGCCAGCAGCCGCGGUAAUACGUAGGGGGCAAGCGUUAUCCGGAUUUACUGGGUGUAAAGGGGGCGCAGACGGGGAUGCAAGCCAGGAGUGAAAGCCCGGGGCCCCACCCCGGGACUGCUCUUGGAACUGCGUGGCUAGAGUGCAGGAGGGGCAGGCGGAAUUCCUGGUGUAGCGGUGAAAUGCGUAGAUAUCAGGAGGAACACCGGUGGCGAAGGCGGCCUGCUGGACUGCAACUGACGUUGAGGCCCGAAAGCGUGGGGAGCAAACAGGAUUAGAUACCCUUGUAGUC
Molecule: ribosomal RNA, 440 nt
Filed under: uncultured bacterium
Lineage: Bacteria
Description: partial 16S ribosomal RNA
Rfam family: Bacterial small subunit ribosomal RNA
Source: RNAcentral